CUGCCACUGCUCUCUGCUCCCAGGAGUCCAUUCCUCCCUACAUAUGGACAGUUCUUCCAUGAAUUGCUUCUGUUCUUGGCUAUCAUAUACUUUUUUCUCACUUAUCUUGCCUUUUACGUUCCUUUUUUUCAAUACUUUCCCAGCUUCCUAACUUUGGCACUGGCCAGACUCAGCCACCCAGAGUGGCAAUUGCUACCAUUUGAGGAAAGCUUUACAGCACAGUGGUUACAUGUGUGUGGACUCGGCAUUCAGAGAACUUUGGUUCCAAUCUCAACACGGCCACUUGAGUUCUGCAACCUUGGGCAAGUUAGUUUUUCUCUCUGGGCCUUGUUCCUUAAUGUGUAAAACAAACUUAAUAGUAAUAUUGUGGAAUGUUGUAAGAAUAAAAUGAACAAGGAAUGAAAAGUUACGACAGUCGCAAAAAAUGAGACCCAUUAUUAUUGGAGGGUAAAGUUUACAGUACCAGAUUAUCUUUCCAAAUUUUGGUUCUAUAAAAUGUGGCUCUAUCAUUGCUAAGCCAGAACUCUGAGACAUUUUAAAGGCACAAUAGACCUUUGAUACAAAGGACUGAAUCACCUUUAAGAGUGCCAGGCAAUAUUGAAUUAGCUACUCAUCUCCUAUGAUCCUUCCUCCCUUCUCCCCCAGCAUCUAAUUUGAAGUAAUAUCCAUUUAUCUCCAGUUAGUCCUUUAAGCAAUUAGCCCCCUUGUUUUCUCCUUUUCAUAUACCCUCCUAUUCUCCCCAUUUUUUUUUUUUUAUCAUAGCACUCUGCCUAUAUUGUCAAAACAUUUUGCAAGUACUGUCCCCCCAUUGUUUAGAAUUAGAUCUACAGGUAAAUACACAUUUAAUGCUUACCACUGGGCAUUAAGUCAAUGCCUCUAUAGUCCUAAUGUUUGUCUGGUUUGUUUUCUAAUGGAUUCUCAAAGAAGGAAUAUUCCCUGGGUUUUUGUUUGUUUAAAACAAUUUUCUGUAGCCUUUAUACUUGAAAAUCAAUUUGGCUAGAUAUAAAAUCCUUGGCUCACAUUUUCUUUACUUGAUUAUCUUAAAUAUCAUUGUCUUUUGACACAGUGCUGCUGCUGAAAGAUGGUGAUAAUCUGGUUUUCUUUUCCUUGUAAGUAAUUUAUUAUUACUCUAUUUUUACCUAGAUGCUUAAAGGAUAUUUUUCUUUUUUUAAAAUCUGGAGGCUUAACUAUUUGGUAUUAGAUGUCCUGGAUUAAUUUUCCCAAGUAUGUAGUGUGUCCUUUCUAUAUCAAGUUUUCCUGUUUUACCAUUUUUAGCAUUUGUUCUCCUCCCUUGUUGUGGUUUUCGUCCUCAAAGAUUAUUAUCAAUAUACACACAUACACAUAAAUAAAUAGGAUCUUCUUUACCUCUCUUCUAUAUUUUCUCUCUCAUCUCUUCUUAUUUUUCUUCUGAUUUUUAAAAAUUUGCUCCUUUCCAAGUUGUGUUUCUUUUAAGGCACUAUUUAUUAUGUUUAGUUACUCUUGUGUUGCUGCUAGUGUAGUCUUUACUUCUGAACCAUUUUAAUCUUUUAUUUCUAAAUUCUUUCCAAGUUCUAUAAAAUCUCUUCAAAUCAUUCCAUUCUUUAAAUAUUUCAUUUCUGAGUUAUUUUAUGUUGAUCUUCAUAACUUCUAUUACUUUCUUAAUUCCUUUGAGUUCAUUUUAAAAUAUUAGACUAUAAUUUCCAAGUGUUCUGUGUGCAUGUCGUUCUGGCAUUUAUUGUCCACAGAGAUGGCAGUCUGGUCUUACUUUCUUUUUUCAUGAGAUUUCAUGGGAUUCAAUUGUUUCUCUUUUAUGUUGGUCAUUUUUAAGUGAAAUGGGUGGGUCAGGAUAGUUCUUUUAGCUUCAUGGUUUCCAUGUUCCCUCUUCUGUUGUGAUCACAAAGUGACAAAAAUAGUCCUACCUUUUCUGAAACUUGCCUCCUCUAUAUCCUUUCCUUUCCUCAUUUUUGUCUGGUACUUCUCAUUUCUUUGCCCCUGAUUUUUCCCAUCCCACUCAAGUUCACAGGAUCCAAAGCACACCAAUGCUCAAUCUUCUCGCACUCAUCAGCAAAUUGUAUUCUGCAGAGCCUGUUUUCUCCCAUUCCAGUUUCACAAGCUGUUCUCACAUGGCCCACUUUACUCUCCAAUGAGUACCUUCAGAAAAUUUUAUAGAUUGCCUCCUCUGUAGUCAUCAAGUGGCUACAUGGCUUUACUUCUGCUUUCAGCCUCAAAAGAUGCUAAUAUCACACAGGUUGGUCAUUGUUCCACUUAUACAUGGGAUGUGGAGAUAUCUUGUCAUCUAAUCAUAGAGUUAAGUUAUGUUUUUCUAAUUGCUCUGUGUCUUUUCAGGUGACAUCCACGGAGAUUAAAAAACUAUACCACCACCUGAGUGUGCAUUUACUAAUGAACUUAUUUUAAAGGUGAUAUUUCCAUUUUAAAAUAUGUCUAGGUAAGAUCCCAUAUAACGCAUCAAAUAAUAAAGGUUACACUGACAUGUUCUGGGACAGGCUCUAUACCAGUAAACACUAUUAAUCUGUUAUUUCGUCCAUAUCAUUGAAAUAGACUCAUACCAUGGUCCUAUCAGUCAGUCAUUAAAUCAGUGGUAAAAAAUGACUGACUGAAAAUAACAUUACAAUUGACU
This 2617-nucleotide long non-coding RNA is filed under the name Dasypus novemcinctus (nine-banded armadillo). RNAcentral describes it as "lncRNA (ENSDNOG00000051250.1)". The record is from RNAcentral. Lineage: Eukaryota; Metazoa; Chordata; Mammalia; Cingulata; Dasypodidae.